This 950-nucleotide ribosomal RNA is filed under the name uncultured archaeon. RNAcentral describes it as "bacterial SSU rRNA". It matches the Rfam family "Archaeal small subunit ribosomal RNA", at positions 1 to 943 of the family's 1478-position model. The record is from RNAcentral.
UUCCGGUUGAUCCCGCCGGACCCGACUGCUAUUUGGGUGAGAAUAAGCCAUGCGAGUUGAAUGGGAUACCUAAAGUUCCCAUAGCAAACUGCUCAGUAACACAUGAUCAACUUACCCUAUAGAGAAAAAUAACCUCGGGAAACUGAGGAUAAUGUUUCAUAAUUGAAUUGGCUUGGAAAAGUUUUUCAAUGAAAGGGAUAAAAAAAAUGGUUUUUAUCUGCUAUAGGAUAGGAUCGUGUUCGAUUAUGGUUGUUGGUGAGAUAAUGGCUCACCAAGCCGAUAAUCGAUAGGGGCCGUGAGAGCGGGAGCCCCGAGAUGGGUACUGAGACAACGACCCAGGCCUUACGAGGCGCAGCAGGCGCGGAACCUCCGCAAUACACGAAAGUGUGACGGGGUUACCCAAAGUGUUCAAUAGAACUGUGGUAGGUGAGUAAUGUCCCCUACUAGAAAGGAGAGGGCAAGGCUGGUGCCAGCCGCCGCGGUAAAACCAGCUCUUCAAGUGGUCGGGAUAAUUAUUGGGCUUAAAGUGUCCGUAGCCGGUUUAGUAAGUUCCUGGUAAAAUCGGGUAGCUUAACUAUCUGCAUGCUAGGAAUACUGCUAUACUAGAGGGCGGGAGAGGUCUGAGGUACUACAGGGGUAGGGGUGAAAUCUUAUAAUCCUUGUAGGACCACCAGUGGCGAAGGCGUCAGACUGGAACGCGCCUGACGGUGAGGGACGAAAGCCAGGGGAGCGAACCGGAUUAGAUACCCGGGUAGUCCUGGCCGUAAACGAUGCAUACUACGUGAUGGUACGGCCAUGAGCCGUAUCAGUGCCGUACGGAAACCGUUAAGUGUGCCGCCUGGGAAGUACGGUCGCAAGGCUAAAACUUAAAGGAAUUGGCGGGGGAGCACCACAAAGGGUGAAGCCUGCGGUUCAAUUGGAUUCACGCCGGGAAUCACUAGUGCGGCCGC